GGCCCAGCAAACACCAAACUGCAACUUUGGUUUCGAUUAUUUUAUCCUGGGUCU
This 54-nucleotide transfer RNA is filed under the name Pseudocalotes drogon. RNAcentral describes it as "tRNA-Cys". Lineage: Eukaryota; Metazoa; Chordata; Lepidosauria; Squamata; Agamidae. The record is from RNAcentral.